UCCGACCUUGGUCCGCUGGACU
This 22-nucleotide microRNA is filed under the name Oreochromis niloticus (Nile tilapia). RNAcentral's name for it is "oni-miR-10848". Lineage: Eukaryota; Metazoa; Chordata; Actinopteri; Cichliformes; Cichlidae. The record is from miRBase by way of RNAcentral.